Molecule: ribosomal RNA, 450 nt
Filed under: uncultured bacterium
Lineage: Bacteria
Description: partial 16S ribosomal RNA
Rfam family: Bacterial small subunit ribosomal RNA
Source: RNAcentral
AGCGAACAUUGGCGGUAGGCUUAACACAUGCAAGUCGAGCGAGGCGUAAUAGUCGAGCGGCGAACGGGUGCGUAAUACAUGGGAAUCUACCCUGAAGUGGGGGAUAACGUUCAGAAAUGGACGCUAAUACCGCAUAAUCCACAUUGGGAAAGCGUUGCAGCGCUUUAGGAUGAGCCCAUGGCUGAUUAGCUAGUUGGUGAGGUAAUGGCUCACCAAGGCGACGAUCAGUAGCUGGUCUGAGAGGAUGACCAGCCACACUGGAACUGAGACACGGCCCAGACUCCUACGGGAGGCAGCAGUGGGGAAUCUUGCGCAAUGGGGGCAACCCUGACGCAGCCAUACCGCGUGAGUGAUGAAGGUCUUCGGAUUGUAAAGCCCUUUCGGCGGGGACGACGAUGACGGUACCCGCAAAAGAAGUCACGGCUAACUUCGUGCCAGCCGCCGCCGUAA